AUACAUAUGUCUCAAGCGUUACCCGGAAUCACUGGGUGUAAAGGGUUCGUAGGCGGUUUAAAAAGUUGAAUAUGAAAGACCGAGGCUCAACCUCGUGUUUGUCUUCAAAACUGUUAAAGUAGAAUCAGGGAGAGGUAAGCGGAAUUCUGUGUGUAGGGGUGCAAUCCGUAGAUACACAGAGGAACACCAAAAGCGAAGGCAGCUUACUGAAACUGUAUUGACGUUCAUGAACGAAAGCGUGGGUAGCGAAAAGGAUUAGAAACCCUAGUAGUCC
Molecule: ribosomal RNA, 274 nt
Filed under: uncultured bacterium
Lineage: Bacteria
Description: partial 16S ribosomal RNA
Rfam family: Bacterial small subunit ribosomal RNA
Source: RNAcentral